Molecule: small RNA, 126 nt
Rfam family: Enterococcus sRNA 68 (Lacto-3 RNA)
About the family: Name 'Ref' stands for RNA in E. faecalis. Also known as Lacto-3 RNA.
Source: Rfam
UGCGAUGAGUCGAGGAAAACCAGGCAAUCAUUGAUUGUUCCGCUAAAGCGGCUAGUGGUAAGAAUCGAAAGGGGACACAGAUGCUACCGGAUUGUAGCGUGUCUGGCUGUUAGUAUUGUGGAGUAC